UACGUAUGGAGCAAGCGUUAUCCGGAUUUACUGGGUGUAAAGGGAGCGUAGGCGGCAUACCAAGCCUGAUGCGAAAACCCGGGGCCCAACCCCGGGAGUGCAUUGGGAACUGGCAAGCUAGAGUGUCGGAGAGGCAGGCGGAAUUCCUAGUGUAGCGGUGAAAUGCGUAGAUAUUAGGAGGAACACCAGUGGCGAAGGCGGCCUGCUGGACGAUGACUGACGCUGAGGCUCGAAAGCGUGGGGAGCAAACAGG
RNAcentral lists this ribosomal RNA (253 nucleotides) under uncultured bacterium. RNAcentral's name for it is "partial 16S ribosomal RNA". It matches the Rfam family "Bacterial small subunit ribosomal RNA", at positions 524 to 776 of the family's 1533-position model. The record is from RNAcentral.